UACGUAGGUGGCGAGCGUUGUCCGGAUUUACUGGGCGUAAAGGGAGCGUAGGCGGACUUUUAAGUGAGAUGUGAAAUACUCGGGCUCAACUUGAGUGCUGCAUUUCAAACUGGAAGUCUAGAGUGCAGGAGAGGAGAAUGGAAUUCCUAGUGUAGCGGUGAAAUGCGUAGAGAUUAGGAAGAACACCAGUGGCGAAGGCGAUUCUCUGGACUGUAACUGACGCUGAGGCUCGAAAGCGUGGGGAUCAAACAGG
This 253-nucleotide ribosomal RNA is filed under the name uncultured bacterium. RNAcentral describes it as "partial 16S ribosomal RNA". It matches the Rfam family "Bacterial small subunit ribosomal RNA", at positions 524 to 776 of the family's 1533-position model. The record is from RNAcentral.